ACACAGGAGGGAGCUGGCUGGGGGAAGCCGGGGCUCCGCGCUCCACACAGCCCAGACUCUGGGCCUGGGGCGCAGCCGGAGGCUCCCCGGCUGCCCACAGGCCUCCCCAACGCCGGCUGCGCUCCGGGAGGAACAGCGCGCCGAGUUAGCACAAGCGAGCAGCGCCCUGCGCACUGCGCCCAGGGCGGCUUCGGCAACAGCACUGGCUUCGGGGGCACCACGGGCACCCUGGGCACCCUCGCUUCGCCCCAGCUUGGCCCUGUGCUCUGCGGCUGGCGACUCUGGAGAAGGGGCAGCUGGAGGCGCCCAGAUUGCUCGGACCCCCGCCGAGGCCGGGAGCUGCGCCUCAGGCGAGGGGCUGUCACCGAGGAAGAGCACAGUCGAUUUUAGCUUCUGAAAAAGGGAGCAAGGAAGCGGCAGCAAUCCGCUGCCUCACGUCGCUGCCGACCUCCAUCUCAUUUUCGAUUUUCUACUCUUUUGGUUUUCAGAUAAUUGGGCCAGAGGGAGGGGUGCACAACCUGGAUCCUGGGGACAAUUGGCAGAUAUAUAUCCAUGUAUCUUGCUGAGGAAGGACCAGCAGAAAGGAAGACUGGAAAUCUGACUAUUUGGGUUGGCUUUUGUCACUUAUUCACUGUGUUCUCUUGGGGAAGUAGCUUAAUCUCGGGGUUAGCUUCUUUAUCUGUGAGAUGGGAAUAGUAUUAGCAACGAGUGAUGUUUGCCUUCGAGGAUUUUUAUUACUUAGUUGGGAAGAACAAUCUUUAUGGUAGGUUGUUAUUGUUUGUUAGCCUUAAAGUCAGAACCUAUACACAAACUCCAAGAUAAAAUUUCUCACAGACACGAAUCUCGGAGUGCUGGGCGCGAGGCGGAGGGCUUCUCACCCAUCUCCCCUCCCUGUCCCGGCAGAGAAGACUCGCCUAGUUGGGACAGGAGGCCAAGAAUGCUUUCCCCAACUGCUUCUACGUGAGAAGAGGUGCUGGGAGUGACAGGAGAAUUUAACCAACAUACAGCCCACCUGACAGCGUUUGUGUGAGUGUGUGUGCGCGCGCAUAGGCGCGCGCCUGUGUUCAGAAGGAUUAGAUCUCCAAUAAAUUGACCAUUUUCAUCUAUCACUAUCAAAAGCUUUUCAGCUGGUAGCAGUGACUACUCCAUGAACAGCAACUUAUGAAGCUCAUUUCAAGACUUUCUGUCCAUUGGAUUUAAAUAUUAUUUUGGGAGAGUUUGGAUAGAGAGCACCAUUUAUCAAAGCCAAGAGUUGUUCACCUCAUGUUCUACUUUUGAAUGAGCAUCUGGCAGAGGACUCUGUGGCCCUGGAUGACUGCAGAGACAUUAGGUGGAGAGAACUUCAGCCACUGGAUGGGAAGACCAUCCUUUACAAGUUGCUAAAGACCCCUGGACUAUGAAAUGAGCAAUGACUAGAUCUUCAUGCUGUUAAGCUACUGAGACGUGGGGACUGUUUAUUACAGCUUCUAGCUUUACUGGCCCUAAUACACCAAGUUGAUUCUAAAAAGGUCCCAUAACCAUAUUCAGUGAAGCGCUACCUUAGACAAAACUAUGGGUAAGAAACUCAUUCAGCCUUCGGA
This is a long non-coding RNA of Bos taurus (domestic cattle), 1580 nucleotides long. The record is from Ensembl. NCBI's taxonomy places the organism in Eukaryota, Metazoa, Chordata, Mammalia, Artiodactyla, Bovidae.